AGAGUUUGAUCCUGGCUCAGAACGUACGCUGGCGGCACGCCUAACACAUGCAAGUCGAACGAAGUAGCAAUACUUAGUGGCGGACGGGUGAGUAACAUGUAGGUAUCUGCCCUUUGGCCUGGAAUAACACGAGGAAACUUGUGCUAAUACCGGAUAAGUCUUUACGGAGAAAGCUUUAUGCACCAUUGGAUGAGCCUGCACUUGAUUAGUUUGUUGGUGGGGUAAUGGCCUACCAAGACUGUGAUCAAUAGCUGAUUUGAGAGGAUGAUCAGCCACAUUGGGACUGAGACACGGCCCAAACUCCUACGGGAGGCAGCAGUGGGGAAUCUUGCACAAUGGAGGAAACUCUGAUGCAGCGAUGCCGCGUGAGUGAAGAAGGCCCUUGGGUUGUAAAGCUCUUUCGUCGGGGAAGAGAAUGACUGUACCCGAAUAAGAAGGUCCGGCUAACUUCGUGCCAGCAGCCGCGGUAAUACGAAGGGACCUAGCGUAGUUCGGAAUUACUGGGCUUAAAGAGUUCGUAGGUGGUUGAAAAAGUUAGUGGUGAAAUCCCGGAGCUUAACUCUGGAACUGCCAUUAAAACUUUUCAGCUAGAGUAUGAUAGAGGAAAGCAGAAUUUCUAGUGUAGAGGUGAAAUUCGUAGAUAUUAGAAAGAAUACCAAUUGCGAAGGCAGCUUUCUGGAUCAUUACUGACACUGAGGAACGAAAGCAUGGGUAGCGAAGAGGAUUAGAUACCCUCGUAGUCCAUGCCGUAAACGAUGUGUGUUAGACGUUGGAAAUUUAUUUUCAGUGCCGCAGGGAAACCGAUAAACACACCGCCUGGGGAGUACGACCGCAAGGUUAAAACUCAAAUGAAUUGACGGGGACCCGCACAAGUAGUGGAGCAUGUGGUUUAAUUCGAAGAUACGCGCAGAACCUUACCAACACUUGACAUGUUCGUCGCGACUCUAAGAGAUUAGAGUUUUCGGUUCGGCCGGACGAAACACAGGUGCUGCAUGGCUGUCGUCAGCUCGUGUCGUGAGAUGUUGGGUUAAGUCUCGCAACGAGCGCAACCCUCACUUUUAGUUGCCAUCAUUAAGUUGGGCACUCUGAAAGAACUGCCAGUGAUAAGCUGGAGGAAGGUGGGGAUGACGUCAAGUCCUCAUGGCCCUUACGUGUUGGGCUACACACGUGCUACAAUGGUAUCUACAACAGGAAGCAAGACUGCGAAGUUAAGCAAAUCCCUAAAAGAUACCUCAGUUCGGAUUGCACUCUGCAACUCGAGUGCAUGAAGCUGGAAUUACUAGUAAUCGUGGAUCAGCGUGCCACGGUGAAUGCGUUCCCGGGUCUUGUACACACCGCCCGUCACACCAUGGGAGUUGGUUCUACCUUAAGGCAAGGUUUCAAACCCUUGACCACGGUAUAGUCAGCGACUGGGGUGAAGUCGUAACAAGGUAACC
RNAcentral lists this ribosomal RNA (1436 nucleotides) under uncultured bacterium. RNAcentral describes it as "bacterial SSU rRNA". It matches the Rfam family "Bacterial small subunit ribosomal RNA". The record is from RNAcentral.